RNAcentral lists this unclassified non-coding RNA (347 nucleotides) under uncultured fungus. RNAcentral describes it as "partial contains small subunit ribosomal RNA, internal transcribed spacer 1, and 5.8S ribosomal RNA". The stretch from base 1 to 73 matches the Rfam family "Eukaryotic small subunit ribosomal RNA", at positions 1759 to 1831 of the family's 1831-position model. The record is from RNAcentral. Lineage: Eukaryota; Fungi.
UCAAACUUGGUCAUUUAGAGGAAGUAAAAGUCGUAACAAGGUUUCCGUAGGUGAACCUGCGGAAGGAUCAUUACUGAGUAACUCGAUCUUCGGAUCGGCUACCCGCCCUCAUGUCAUCUGUUUUGACGGGGCGACGUGCCGGUUACACGGCAUUGUUGCCCCCGAACCAUACUUCCCAGGAGGUGUUAUUCUUCACUACGUGAGGGGUGACCGCCUGGGGCCUUUUUAAGCAACGCUUGUUAAUAAUAUUGAAUGUCUGAAACCAAAAAUCUUGAAAGAGAUUGAAAAUAUAAAGCAAAACUUUCAACAACGGAUCUCUUGGCUCUGGCAUCGAUGAAGAACGCAGC